This 329-nucleotide ribosomal RNA is filed under the name uncultured eukaryote. RNAcentral's name for it is "partial 18S ribosomal RNA". It matches the Rfam family "Eukaryotic small subunit ribosomal RNA", at positions 1470 to 1796 of the family's 1831-position model. The record is from RNAcentral.
CCCUUCGAUGUUCUGGGCCGCACGCGCGCUACACUGAUGCAUUCAACGAGUCUAAAACCUGCUCUGAUAGGGGUGGGUAAUCUUUUGAAUGUGCAUCGUGAUUGGGAUAGAUGAUUGAAAUUUUUCAUCUUCAACGAGGAAUGCCUAGUAAACGCAAGUCAUCAGCUUGCAUUGAUUACGUCCCUGCCCUUUGUACACACCGCCCGUCGCUCCUACCGAUUGAAUGAUCCGAUGAAUAUCAUGGAUUGAGGAUGCAAGUAGGUUCACCUAUCUUCAUCUUCGAGAAGUGAAGUAAAUCUUAUCAUUUAGAGGAAGGAGAAGUCGUAACA